This is a non-coding RNA of Ameiurus melas (black bullhead), 74 nucleotides long. The record is from the annotation of a GenBank genome assembly. NCBI's taxonomy places the organism in Eukaryota, Metazoa, Chordata, Actinopteri, Siluriformes, Ictaluridae.
GGAAGUGGUGGCUCAUUGGUUAAGAUGUCGUACUUCUGAUUGGAAGGUCGUGAGUUCAAAUCCCAACGCUAUCA